UACGUAGGGACCAAGCGUUGUCCGGAAUCAUUGGGCGUAAAGAGCGUGUAGGCGGCUUGUUAAGUCUUGCGUGAAAUCUCGGGGCUCAACCCCGAGCGGUCGUGAGAAACUGGCAGGCUAGAGUGCGGGAGAGGAGAGUGGAAUUCCUGGUGUAGCGGUGAAAUGCGCAGAUAUCAGGAGGAACACCGGUGGCGAAGGCGGCUCUCUGGAACGCAACUGACGCUGAGACGCGAAAGCGUGGGGAGCAAACAGG
Molecule: ribosomal RNA, 253 nt
Filed under: uncultured bacterium
Lineage: Bacteria
Description: partial 16S ribosomal RNA
Rfam family: Bacterial small subunit ribosomal RNA
Source: RNAcentral